AUGAAAGAGAGGGAAAGGGGAUAUUUGGAAAAGGGAAAAAACGUUAAUCGAGAUCUAUUUUCAACUCUCAGGAACAAAACGCUUCAAAAACUCCAAUUCCUUCUAUCUCUCAGACGCUCUUUCUUCCUUCAUCUUGUUCCCAUUGCAAUACACUCAUCGAUCUUUUCCAACUUCAUUAUCAUCAACAAACCGCCAUCGCAGCAACCCAACCUCACUUCUCUUCCGCUAGCUUCUUCCUUUACAACCCUCCGUAAUUCACCGCAGCCACCAUAA
This is a non-coding RNA of Vicia faba (fava bean), 273 nucleotides long. The record is from the annotation of a GenBank genome assembly. Lineage: Eukaryota; Viridiplantae; Streptophyta; Magnoliopsida; Fabales; Fabaceae.